RNAcentral lists this ribosomal RNA (434 nucleotides) under uncultured Oscillospiraceae bacterium. RNAcentral describes it as "partial 16S ribosomal RNA". It matches the Rfam family "Bacterial small subunit ribosomal RNA", at positions 341 to 792 of the family's 1533-position model. Lineage: Bacteria; Bacillati; Bacillota; Clostridia; Eubacteriales; Oscillospiraceae. The record is from RNAcentral.
ACGGAAGGCAGCAGUGGGGGAUAUUGCACAAUGGGCGCAAGCCUGAUGCAGCAACGCCGCGUGAGGGAAGACGGUUUUCGGAUUGUAAACCUCUGUUUUUGGUGAAGAUAAUGACGGUAGCCAAGGAGGAAGCCACGGCUAACUACGUGCCAGCAGCCGCGGUAAUACGUAGGGGGCAAGCGUUGUCCGGAAUUACUGGGUGUAAAGGGAGCGCAGGCGGGACGGCAAGUUGGAUGUGAAAUACCGCAGCUUAACUGCGGAGCUGCAUCCAAAACUGUCGUUCUUGAGUGGAGUAGAGGCAAGCGGAAUUCCGAGUGUAGCGGUGAAAUGCGUAGAUAUUCGGAGGAACACCAGUGGCGAAGGCGGCCUACUGGGCUCUAACUGACGCUGAGGCUCGAAAGUGUGGGGAGCAAACAGGAUUAGAUACCCUGGUA